RNAcentral lists this long non-coding RNA (392 nucleotides) under Manacus vitellinus (golden-collared manakin). Its description in RNAcentral is "lncRNA (ENSMVIG00005001024.1)". Lineage: Eukaryota; Metazoa; Chordata; Aves; Passeriformes; Pipridae. The record is from RNAcentral.
UUUAAAAAGUUGUUUUCUGUGUUUCCGCAUCAUAUUUCCAGGAAAAAGAAACUGAAAACUACAUAUGCAGGGUGGUGCCAUUACUCUUCUGUCUGUGACCAAGGAUGUAAGCUGAUGAUCUCCAUGCUAUUCUGCUGUGACUCUGUCACUCCUGACCUGACCUUCAGGAUACACUGAGAGUAUUCUGAGUCCUUCCACAGUGUCUCACACUAGUACUACAGGACUUUACCUACCUCAGAGAUGGAGUCACCAGAACUGCAGGGGACUGCAACAGCUAUGGGAAGAGUCUUGGAAUGAAUAAUGUUCAACCACAUACUUACAUUGUAAGUUUUCCUAAAUGCCAGGCUAAGCUCCAAUUUUUGGAAUGGACCAGAGAAAAUUUUAAAACCUGA